RNAcentral lists this ribosomal RNA (2095 nucleotides) under Brassica rapa (field mustard). Its description in RNAcentral is "eukaryotic LSU rRNA". The stretch from base 1248 to 2095 matches the Rfam family "Eukaryotic large subunit ribosomal RNA", at positions 1889 to 2736 of the family's 3401-position model. Lineage: Eukaryota; Viridiplantae; Streptophyta; Magnoliopsida; Brassicales; Brassicaceae. The record is from RNAcentral.
UUCUAUCCAGAUGGACGGAUUGGUCUUUGGGAUGAUCCGGACUGUUCAUAUGUUCUGCUUAUCUAUCUGAUUCUAAGUCAAGGGGUGGUUGGUUGAAUGACUUAGGAUUUGGUAGGAAGGUUCAUAUCUUUUCAUAAGUAUAUUGUCCGAGGUUUAUCUGUGUUCUAGGAACCAAGCCAAGUAUUGUAGAAUCGACCAGUUCUAUUCUCGGUUAUGAUUAAUGCUUAUCUGGUUGUGGUUUCAGGAACUAAGGAUGGUUCUGGUAAAGCCAAGGAGCCGUGAAGGCUCGGUCAGUGAUAGGCUGUGUAACGUGUGGUUAGAUGAUGCUAGCGAUGAACUAGUGAUUGUCUAUGAAACGAUUAAGAAGUUGUGCUUUGGAUCUCAUGUUUCUAAGUAAUACAUUUUAUACACAUUUAUAUUCCGCUGUGCUAUCUGUUCAAUUGUUUUAGAACCUCAGAUUCGAACAUGACUUAGUAAAGGAAAGACUUAAAAUGAAUCAAUCAAGCAAAGAAAUUGAUUAAGUAGCAACCGGGUCCAGUUUCGUCGAGAGGUCGGAUUUAGGCGUUACAGAGACUGAAUGAGAAUGAAUGAAUUGAUCUAUGGUCGUGUAUCCUUUAUAUAGGCAAUCAAAGGUCAUGUGCAAAGGGACACAUCCCUUCGAAGCAUCCUUUUGGAACAGAUCUUGGCCAUCGAUUACAAUCAAUGGUCCAAAUCGUACCUGUUCGGAAAUGGAAGGUUCCAGACCUUAUAGGCACGUCCAACCCAAGCCCAGACUUGGUACCCAAGCCCACGGCCUGCCCACAAGAGCCCAACGACUCAUGGACCACAUGGCCGGACCUCAUGGCCCGCCACUGACCCAGACCCGGACCAUCGGCCCAAAACCUGAAUAGUCCAUCGAGCUGAGAUGAGCUGACUCCCAGCUAUCUCAGCUGAGUGAGCUAGUAGUCCAGCUGGUUGAGCUGAUUUAACUUGGAACGAGCUAGGCUGAGCUUGACCGAGCUACAGCUAGCUAAUCGAGGUUCCCGUAAGCAUCGCCCAGCUUCUGUACAUCUUAUCCUAGCUGACUUCUUUCUCUUAUAAGGUUAAGUCUCAGCAUCCUGACGUCCUUAACCUUCUAUCUUAGCCAUGGAACGCUGGCCUUAAGGUCUUAAGACCGGCUGGUUCGUUUCCUCGAACCAUGGCCGUCCUGACGGUCCUUAUCCAGGAUCGCGGAUGUUAAAGGUCUCCAAGGUGAACAGCCUCUGGUCGAUGGAACAGUAGAGGCAAGGGAAGUCGGAAGAAUGGAUCCGUAACUUCAGGAAAAGGAUUGGCUUUGAGGGCUGAGGUCGGGGGUCCCAGUUCUGAACCCGUCGACUGUUGGCGGGCUGCUUGAGCUGCUAACGUUGCGAGAGCGCACCGCCUCGUGUCGGCCGGGGGACAGACUGGGAACGGCUCUUUCGGGAUCUUUCCCCGAGCGUCGAAUAGCCAACUCAGAACUGGUACGGACAAGGGGAAUCUGACUGUUUAAUUAAAACAAAGCAUUGCGAUGGUCCCUGCGGAUGCUAACGCAAUGUGAUUUCUGCCCAGUGCUCUGAAUGUCAAAGUGAAGAAAUUCAACCAAGCGCGGGUAAACGGCGGGAGUAACUUUGACUCUCCUAAGGUAGCCAAAUGCCUCAUCAUCUAAUUAGUGACGCGCAUGAAUGGAUUAACGAGAUUCCCACUGUCCCUAUCUACUAUCCAGCGAAACCACAGCCAAGGGAAUAGGCUUGGCAGAAUCCGCGGGGAAAGAAGACCCUGUUGAGCUUGACUCUAGUCCGACUUUGUGAAAUGACUUGAGAGGUGUAGAAUAAGUGGGAGCUCCGGUGCAAGUUUAAUACCACUACUUUUAACGUUAUUUUACUUACUCCGUCAAUCGGAGGCGGGGUAACAGCCCCUUCUUUUAGACCCAAGACUCGCUUCGGUGGGUCAAUACAGGCGGAGGACAUUGUCAGGUGGGGAGUUUGGCUGGGGCGGCACAUCUCUUAUAAGAUAACACAGGUGUCCUAAGAUAAGCUCAACGAGAACAUAAAUCUCCUGUGGAACAAAAGGGUAAAAGCUCGUUUGAUUCUGAUUUUCA